Molecule: ribosomal RNA, 207 nt
Filed under: Cylindrocladiella sp.
Lineage: Eukaryota; Fungi; Ascomycota; Sordariomycetes; Hypocreales; Nectriaceae
Description: partial large subunit ribosomal RNA
Source: RNAcentral
AAGCGCUUAUGACCAGACUUGGACUUGGUUGAUCAUCCUGGGUUCUCCCUGGUGCACUCUUCCAGUUCAGGCCAGCAUCAGUUCAUCGCGGGGGAUAAAGGCUUCGGGAAUGUGGCUCCUCCGGGAGUGUUAUAGACCAUUGCAUAAUACCCUGGGCCGGACUGAGGUUCGCGCAUCUGCAAGGAUGCUGGCGUAAUGGUCAUCAGC